Molecule: unclassified non-coding RNA, 697 nt
Filed under: Hevea brasiliensis (rubber tree)
Lineage: Eukaryota; Viridiplantae; Streptophyta; Magnoliopsida; Malpighiales; Euphorbiaceae
Source: RNAcentral
ACUGAGAGGAUUGGAUUUGAGGUUGUGACGCUUGAUGGACGUACGGGGCUUCUUGCUUCUAACAAAAUCUCGAGCGCGCAGUCUCUUAGAUGGCCCACCGUGGGAAGAUACAGGGUAGAUGUUGCAUCAUUUGAGUCGUUGGCAUUACAAGAGUUGCAGGUAAGGGAAGAUACCGAUCUCUUCAUUAUCGAUGAAAUUGGGAAGAUGGAGCUCUACAGCUCCUCAUUCUUUCCAGCUGUACUUAAGGUCCUUCAAUCUAAUAUCCCACUCUUGGCUUCUAUCCCCAUUACAAAAGUAGGCCGAGAUAUACCUGGAGUUGCGAGGAUGAAGAAUCAUCCAGGAGCUAGAGUUUUUACACUUGAUGCAAAUAACAGGGAUGCGAUGAGAGAACAAAUAUGCUCCGCGUUAGCAGAUGUGCUGCAAAAGUCUUAGACGUCGAAGAGCAUACUCUUCCAGCUAAUGUUGUAAUUGCUCCUCCUGAUACACUACUCAAGAAGACAAGUCCCCUUAAAAUCUCCAACACUUUGAAGACCACUUGGUGGCGUAGAAUGCUCAGAACAAUUGCUGAGAGAGGAAUUUUGAAGACGAGAGAGGAAAAAAAUGGAGCGAUGUUUUUCUAUAACGCGUUGCUGGUCAAUUCUAACUUUUCUGAAGCUUCCUUUAAUUUAUUUUCUGUGUUAGUAUGGUGUACUGAAAG